Molecule: ribosomal RNA, 301 nt
Filed under: uncultured bacterium
Lineage: Bacteria
Description: partial 16S ribosomal RNA
Rfam family: Bacterial small subunit ribosomal RNA
Source: RNAcentral
CAGCCGCCACGGGAAUACGGAGGGGGCUAGCGUUGUUCGGAAUUACUGGGCGUAAAGCGCACGUAGGCGGCUUGGUAAGUUAGAGGUGAAAGCCCGGAGCUCAACUCCGGAAUUGCCUUUAAGACUGCAUCGCUUGAAUCCAGGAGAGGUGAGUGGAAUUCCGAGUGUAGAGGUGAAAUUCGUAGAUAUUCGGAAGAACACCAGUGGCGAAGGCGGCUCACUGGACUGGUAUUGACGCUGAGGUGCGAAAGCGUGGGGAGCAAACAGGAUUAGAUACCCCAGUAGUCCCUGUCUCUUAUAC